AGAGUUUGAUCAUGGCUCAGAAUCAACGCUGGCGGCGUGCCUAACACAUGCAAGUCGAACGCGAAAGUCCCGCAAGGGAUCGGUAGAGUGGCAAACGGGUGAGUAACACGUGGGUGACCUGCCUUCGAGUGGGGGAUAACGUCCCGAAAGGGACGCUAAUACCGCAUGACAUCCUGCCUUUGAACAGGUGGAGAUCAAAGCUGGGGAUCGCAAGACCUAGCGCUUGAAGAGGGGCCCGCGCCUGAUUAGCUAGUUGGUGAGGUAACGGCUCACCAAGGCAACGAUCAGUAUCCGGCCUGAGAGGGCGGACGGACACACUGGGACUGAGACACGGCCCAGACUCCUACGGGAGGCAGCAGUGGGGAAUUGUUCGCAAUGGGCGCAAGCCUGACGACGCAACGCCGCGUGGAGGAUGAAGACCUUCGGGUCGUAAACUCCUUUCGAUCGAGACGAACGGCUUCCGGGCGAAUAUCCCGGGAGAUUGACGGUACCGAGAGAAGAAGCCCCGGCUAACUCCGUGCCAGCAGCCGCGGUAAUACGGGGGGGGCAAGCGUUGUUCGGAAUUACUGGGCGUAAAGGGCUCGUAGGCGGCCAACUAAGUCAGACGUGAAAUCCCUCGGCUUAACCGGGGAACUGCGUCUGAUACUGGAUGGCUUGAGGUUGGGAGAGGGAUGCGGAAUUCCAGGUGUAGCGGUGAAAUGCGUAGAUAUCUGGAGGAACACCGGUGGCGAAGGCGGCAUCCUGGACCAAAUCUGACGCUGAGGAGCGAAAGCCAGGGGAGCAAACGGGAUUAGAUACCCUAGUAGUCC
This 809-nucleotide ribosomal RNA is filed under the name uncultured bacterium. RNAcentral's name for it is "bacterial SSU rRNA". It matches the Rfam family "Bacterial small subunit ribosomal RNA", at positions 8 to 796 of the family's 1533-position model. The record is from RNAcentral.